CUGCCCAAUGAGUAGUUUAAUGGCCGCGGUAAUUUGACCGUGCAAAGGUAGCAUAAUCAUUAGUUUUUUAAUUGAAAGCUGGAAUGAAAGGUUGGAUGAGAAAAUAACUGUCUCUAUUAAAAUUAAUUAGAAUUUUAUUUUUAAGUAAAAAAGCUUAGAUAUACAUAGAAGACGAGAAGACCCUAUAGAGUUUAAUUAAUAAUUUUUAUAAAUUUUUUAGGAUUAAGAUUUUUUUAAGAGUAAUUAAUUUUGUUGGGGUGAUAGAAAAAUUAAUAAAACUUUUUUUUUAUUCGAACAUUAAUUUAUGAAUAUUUGAUCCUUUAAUGAAGAUUAAAAGAGUAAAUUACCUUAGGGAUAACAGCGUAAUUUUUUUAGAGAGUUCAAAUCGAAAAAAAAGAUUGCGACCUCGAUGUUGGAUUAAAAUAAAAUUUUGGUGUAGAAGCUAAAAUAUUUAGGUCUGUUCGACCUUUAAAAUUUUACAUGAUCUGAGUUUAAACCGGCGU
RNAcentral lists this ribosomal RNA (503 nucleotides) under Prypnini sp. 1 MVD-2017. RNAcentral's name for it is "partial 16S ribosomal RNA". It matches the Rfam family "Bacterial large subunit ribosomal RNA", at positions 1859 to 2622 of the family's 2925-position model. Lineage: Eukaryota; Metazoa; Arthropoda; Insecta; Coleoptera; Curculionidae. The record is from RNAcentral.